Molecule: long non-coding RNA, 251 nt
Filed under: Brassica rapa (field mustard)
Lineage: Eukaryota; Viridiplantae; Streptophyta; Magnoliopsida; Brassicales; Brassicaceae
Description: long non-coding RNA (BRAP_LNC003306)
Source: RNAcentral
GAAAUAAAAAAUGGGUAAAUGCAUGAACAAACUGCGUUUUGGACUGUAGACAAUGCGUCUUCGUUGGCAACAUAUAAUUGGCUUAGUUGGCAUUUGACAAAAAAGGUCACUUCCUUCCAACUUCCAAACACCAAUAAUUUUUCAUAUUUUCCAACUUAUUUUUAUUAUUCUAUGGGGAUGAGUAUUUUAUUCUUUUGUUUCCUUCCAAUUAAUAAAACGUUUUCACCAACCACAACAUGUCCAAACCCACA